CCGGCCCAAGAGGCCUUCUUAGUAAAGGGCAGCGGGCAGUUCAAACCGUGGGGGGCCCCCUCCGUGGGGUCACCAGCCUGGCCUGUCCUGGGGGAGUGGCUGAAUGGGUGCUGUGUGCUGGGCCAUCUGGCUCACAUAAGAGUCUGGGGUGAGAGGAGGGAGAAAGUUGCCCACAGCAUGGCCUGAGGUGACCAGGCCGCCUCGGGGGUGAGGCCCAGCCCUUUCUCCUCUCCCCUCCCUUGCUGACAAUAGGAACACUAAGGACACGAGGAUCAUUUCCGCGGGCAUGGAUGGCACUGUGGCCUUGGAAAGCGGGUCUGCCCCUCCCUCUCCCAUUGGUUCCCACGGCUCUCCGCAGCUGGGUCUUCCCUGGCAGGCACGAAAGGUCGUUGGCAUGCACACCCUCCCGGACAUACCGAAGUCAAUGUCGAGGAGGGCGGCGUUGGCACCCUCCACCAGGAUCUUCUUGGGGGGGCCGUGGAGUGCCUCAUACAUAAAGUAAACACCAUCUCGGACCAUG
This is a long non-coding RNA of Gorilla gorilla gorilla (western lowland gorilla), 520 nucleotides long. RefSeq lists it as uncharacterized. Lineage: Eukaryota; Metazoa; Chordata; Mammalia; Primates; Hominidae. The transcript is spliced from 2 exons. The record is from RefSeq and is a predicted model, not a curated record.